UCUAAUUUUCUCUCUCCUUUCUCUCUAACUUUCCCAGAGCUUAAAUUUACCGGUUCUCGGCUCUGGUGAUUUUGUUUCGUUCUACAGUAAGUUUUUUUUAUUAUCUAAUAACAUUGAAACUAUGAUAUUUUUACUAACCAAGGGUGUAACCCCACGAAAGCGAGGAGUCGGUUUCAUACUGAAGCUAGAAGGAACUUGGAGGAGAAAACCAAGCAGUAUGUUAGACAAGUUAACAAGGACAGCGUGAGAUGAUCUUUGAUGUGGGUGAUCAAGUUUGGGUCCAUUUGAGAAAUGAGAGGUUUCCAAAUGAAAGGAAAUCAAAGCUAAUGUCAAGGAUUAAUGGUCUUUUGACAGUCACACACAUAAUCAACAACAAUGCCUAUAAACUCGAUAUGUAAGGUAAGAAUGAUGUUUGUGAUAAUUUUAAUGUUUCUAACUUGGCUUUUUUUUGUUGCAGAUAAUCUAGAUUUGAGGACAAAUCUUUUUCAAGAGAGAGGGGAUGAUGUGAUCAUGCGAAUGCAACAUGAAACAGUUAAAGAAGAGAUCAACAAUGAGGAUGUCUUAGCUAUUCCAUAAGAUCCAAUAACUCGUGCUAGACCAAAGAAGCUGACACUGGAAUGCUUAAGUCUAUUUAUGAAAAAUGUCGGCCGAAUUUCCAAUCACGAAGCCUUCCUCUUUGUAGAGUUUUAUCCAACUAACUGAUAAACACUUGGCAAAUCCUGUUGUGUGUGCUCUUUUUCUCUAACUUGGUUUUGUCUCACUAGAUUUUUCAAGUUAGGUUUUUAAUGAGGUCACAACUGUCCUAGUUAAUUUGCUGAUAUAUCACGUGUGAGUGAAUGAACACUUGUUAUCAAGCCUUAUGUAUAACUAGUUGCAGAU
Brassica napus (rape) is the source of this 879-nucleotide long non-coding RNA. RefSeq lists it as uncharacterized. Lineage: Eukaryota; Viridiplantae; Streptophyta; Magnoliopsida; Brassicales; Brassicaceae. The transcript has 2 exons. The record is from RefSeq and is a predicted model, not a curated record.